Unclassified non-coding RNA from Mesocricetus auratus (golden hamster), 314 nucleotides. It matches the Rfam family "Metazoan signal recognition particle RNA". From Rfam's summary of the family: The signal recognition particle (SRP) is a universally conserved ribonucleoprotein. NCBI's taxonomy places the organism in Eukaryota, Metazoa, Chordata, Mammalia, Rodentia, Cricetidae. The record is from Ensembl.
GCCCGGCACGGUGGCGCACGCCUGUAGUCCCAGCUACUCGGAAGGCUAAGACAGGAGGAUCGCUUGAGUCCAGGAGUUCUGGGCUGUAGAGCGCUAUGGUGAUCAGGUAUCCUCACUAAGUUCGGCAUCAAUAGGGUGACCUCCCAGGAACCGGGGCCACCAGGUUGCCUAAGGAGGGGUGAACCGGCCCAGGUCAGAAAUGGAGCAGGUCAAACUCCCGUGCUAAUCAGAAAUAAGUCACAGUAACAAAUUAUAAAAGAAACGGCUAUGCCCCUCUUCAUUCUACAUGAAAUAAAAAUACAGCUCCACCCUUC